This is a long non-coding RNA of Jaculus jaculus (lesser Egyptian jerboa), 1491 nucleotides long. RefSeq lists it as uncharacterized. The transcript has 4 exons. Lineage: Eukaryota; Metazoa; Chordata; Mammalia; Rodentia; Dipodidae. The record is from RefSeq and is a predicted model, not a curated record.
GAGGCGCCGCCCAGGGUGGCGAGAGCCGACGCCAACGCCAACGCCAACGCCGCGGAAAUGUGGACACCGCGCGCCGGUCCUCAAGCAGCUGCGUCUCUGUGGCGCAAUCGGUUAGCGCGUUCGGCUGUUAACCGAAAGGCCUUGGCCGGAGGAAGAAUGCUCCCACACAGCUGCGAUUGCCAGGGACCAUCUCUAACAUCGACAAGUGAACGAAUAAAUGUCAUGGCAUUCACUCGGAAAAACUCCGCAGACUUCCACGACGAUGGCCAUGGGAAUUGUGAGGCAGGCUUGUUGGAUUGCCUGUGUGAAGACCCUGUGGAGCCAGUAGGAUGAACCAUGAGUUGCAGUGGAAACCCAGUGGAGAUGCCAGGACUAUGGGAUGGCUGCCGGCACCAGAUGUAUUUUUCCAGGACUGCUUCCUGCCACCCUUUCGAAGGAGAGAGAGGAGCCGCGCUGAGGCAGUCUCGUCAGAUGGCCAUGCACUACACUCAACUUGGAUCUGUGCCCACUGGUGUUUCCAAAUUUCCAAACAUUUCUUAAAACCUGUACAUUUCAUGCAGCCAAAUGUACAACUGCCAGAAACUAGACAAUCCUCAUGUUUACCAUUCUGAAACCCUCACUCUCCUACAAUUACAAAAAAAGCAGCAAGAACACAGUCCCGAGGAUUUUAAUUUAUAAAAUGGAUUACACAUUCCAUGGGAAGACUUGGAUAUAAAGCACCUGUUUAAAUUUUAUUCACAGUUAGUUACUAAACAAGGCCAGUGUGUGCCAAUUAGCACUACCCGAAACAGGUUACACCUUAGAAAUAAAUACUAAACUAAAAAGUUAAGAAGCAUUCAGCAAUUCUCAAACAAAUAUUCAUCAAAAUGAGGUAAGUCUAAUGUGUCAUUUGCUAACGUGGUUAAUGAUGAAGUGGAAAAGAAUUCAUCAAAAAUGUCAGUCUUCAUAGGACUCUCCAAGUCCAAUGCUCUGAUGCAGGCACUGUUUGCCAGUGAGUCUGAUUCAACUUCACACUGAGUUUUCUUGACAGGGCUACAGUAAUUAUGGUCCUGUUUCAGAUGGGUGCUUAGUUCACUAGGUGCUGGUGCUGGGCUGUUGCUAUCUCCCAUUUCUAAAUACCUAAAGUCAGGUUCCACACUUUCGGAGAGCUCUGUGGAAAUGGUUGUAGGAGACAGUAAUUCUGCUAAGAUGUCUUCUUGACUCUGACUAGGGUGCGAGCUAACGGGAGGAGCAGUGGUACAUCUGGCCUUGUUAUCUGCAGCGUCAAUUUGAUACUGUAGCUCCUUUAGAAGAUCUUCAAUGGACUCCCCAUCACUGGGGGACCCACAGUGGGACAGAGAUUCUAGAUUUUCACUUGGAGGUGUUACAGUUUGGGGAGAAGACUGAAGAGAAGCUAAUUUCUUCUUUUUUGCCUUUAGUUUCUUAAGAAGUUUUAGACGAAGUUUAUGAAUCUGAUCUUCAGCCAUGCCCCCGGGACUGGCUGAGGCGACG